This 75-nucleotide transfer RNA is filed under the name Oscillospiraceae bacterium. RNAcentral describes it as "tRNA-Ser". It matches the Rfam family "tRNA". Rfam says of the family: Transfer RNA (tRNA) molecules are approximately 80 nucleotides in length. Their secondary structure includes four short double-helical elements and three loops (D, anti-codon, and T loops). Further hydrogen bonds mediate the characteristic L-shaped molecular structure. tRNAs have two regions of fundamental functional importance: the anti-codon, which is responsible for specific mRNA codon recognition, and the 3' end, to which the tRNAs corresponding amino acid is attached (by aminoacyl-tRNA synthetases). tRNAs cope with the degeneracy of the genetic code in two manners: having more than one tRNA (with a specific anti-codon) for a particular amino acid; and 'wobble' base-pairing, i.e. permitting non-standard base-pairing at the 3rd anti-codon position. The record is from RNAcentral. Lineage: Bacteria; Bacillati; Bacillota; Clostridia; Eubacteriales; Oscillospiraceae.
CGGAUCGUAUCUCAGUUGGCUAGAGACAGAGCUGCAUGACGGCCAGUGUCGCAGGUUCGAAUCCUGCCGAUCCGA